AUUGAACGCUGGCGGCAUGCCUUACACAUGCAAGUCGAACGGCAGCGGGCCUUCGGGUGCCGGCGAGUGGCGAACGGGUGAGUAAUGCAUCGGAACGUGCCAUUGAGUGGGGGAUAACGUAGCGAAAGUUACGCUAAUACCGCAUAUUCUGUGAGCAGGAAAGCAGGGGACCGCAAGGCCUUGCGCUCUUUGAGCGGCCGAUGUCAGAUUAGCUAGUUGGUGAGGUAAAGGCUUACCAAGGCGACGAUCUGUAGCGGGUCUGAGAGGAUGAUCCGCCACACUGGAACUGAGACACGGUCCAGACUCCUACGGGAGGCAGCAGUGGGGAAUUUUGGGACAAUGGGCGCAAGCCUGAUCCAGCCAUGCCGCGUGAGUGAAGAAGGCCU
RNAcentral lists this ribosomal RNA (386 nucleotides) under uncultured bacterium. RNAcentral's name for it is "bacterial SSU rRNA". It matches the Rfam family "Bacterial small subunit ribosomal RNA", at positions 30 to 417 of the family's 1533-position model. The record is from RNAcentral.